RNAcentral lists this long non-coding RNA (2298 nucleotides) under Equus asinus (donkey). RNAcentral describes it as "lncRNA (ENSEASG00005031092.1)". The record is from RNAcentral. Lineage: Eukaryota; Metazoa; Chordata; Mammalia; Perissodactyla; Equidae.
CUGGAGGGGCCUUGGUGACUUGCUUGACAGAGUAUGGUGAAAAUGAUGCUGUGUGACUUCCACGCUUCAGUCACAAAGAUGCCACACCCUUCUGCCUUGUUCUUUUGUCACACUGCCUCUUGGAAUGUGGCCACAUGCUGCAAGGAAGCCCAAGCAAACUGUAGAGAUGCCACAUGGACAGAAACCAAGGCCCAUAGCCCCUAGUCCUGACUGAGCUCCCAGCUGGCACCAGCACCAACAUGCCAGCCAUGUGAAUGAACUACCUCCAGUCCCAGUCAAGCCACUCUACCUCACACCAUGCGGAGUAGAGAUGAGCCAUCUCUGUUGAGCACUUCCCAAUCACAGACACCUGUGCCCAGCUGAGACUGCCACCUCCCUACCCAAGGACAGAUAUUCUUCUGGUAAUGACAACCAAGUAAAGUGCAAGUGUUUGGAGCUAAUGGCUGCCUUGUUGCCCAGUAGAAGGUUGUAACUGUACGUUUAGGAGGAGAUUUAAAAAUCUAUCUGACCCCAUUCAUUGCCAGUGAAUUCCACUGGACUUCUUAAUUCAAGAGACAGUCCCUGGGUAAAGGAACUCUCAGCCAUAAAGGGAUUACUAAGAAACUGAAGCAGAGUGCUCUGUGAUGGGGUCCUCAUGGAGCCUGAGCAGGUAAGCAAUUUGCAACUUCACUAGGAUUUCUGAAACCAGCGCUCUCAACACUUAGUCGUCUUAGUAGAGCAGCAGCUCUGGGUCCUGGAGGUAAUCACAGAACAGUGCUUUCCCUCCCGCUAUCCCUCCCUUGUUCAGCUAGUUGGUGAUCUAGACUCUACAAGCUUCUAAGAUGUAACUGGAAAUAAUUUGAUGACUUGAAUAUGAUGAAGACACCUCUGGAAACACAUCUGGUUCCUACAGAGCAUUAUGCUCAGCAGUACCCAUGCCAACUGGACCCAAGCUUGGAAGAGGCAGCCUUAGCAAAAGUUUUGACACUCAGAAUAAUGUGCUUGCACAUGAGCACAGACUGAAGAUCACGCCUGUGGUAGGCAGAGUAAGGGCCCCACAAAGAUGUCCUAAUUCCCCAAGCUUGCCAAUAUGUUACCUUACACGGCAGAAAGGACUUGGUGGAUGUGAUUGUUAAGGAUCUUGAGAUAGAUUAUCCUGGAUUAUCUGGGGGGACCAAAAGAAACUACAAGGGUCCUUAUAAGAUGGAGACAGGAGAGUCAAAGUAAGAGAGAUGUGACAGGGAAACAGAGGUUGGAGUGAUGAAAUGUGAAGAUGGAGGAACAGACUACAAGUCAAACAUUCUGAGUAGCCUCUGGAAGCCAGAGAAUUUGUUUCCUUCCCUUGAGCCUCCAAAAGGAACCAGCCCUGUUGAUUUUAGCUCCUUAAGAUCCAUUUUGGACUUCUGACCUCCAGAAAUGCAUGAUAAUUACUUUGUGUUGUUUUAAGCCAUUUGUGGUGUAUGGUAGUUUGUUACAGCAGCAACAGGCAACUAAUAUAAGACAUUAUCAUUUGUUUGUUUCAUGAUCACGUGUCUCAACACUCUCCUUCUCAUGGAUUAUUCAAUCUCUCUCAGAGGGAAAGUCAGACUGAAAGUUUCUCAAUAAGUACCACUGAGACAUGGACUGUCACAGCUUCUGGUCCUUCCUUCAGGCCACAUUCCUCUGCUUCCCCCUCUUACACACACACACACACACACGCACACACAACUCUCUUCUGUAGGCACUAAGUCUAGGUAGUGGAGUAUCCCAGAUACAUCUGGGACCCCAGAAGUAAAGCUAUAGGGUCUCUUUUCCUCAUAGUUCCAUUAAACACCAGGAAAUGGGAACAAAAAGUGAGACUGUGGAAAUCCAACCUGACUUAAUGAGAUUUAUUUGAAGCAUGGUGUCAAUAAGCUACAACUGCCAAAUCAAGACUCCUAACUCAUAUGCAUAUGAGUCUGAAAGACUAUUUAGGGGAAAAGUGUUUAAACACCUUCUCCAUGUGCAUUCAGUGUCCAUUCAGCUGUUAGUCUAAGAAGUUACUCCACAUUGAAGAACUCUCUGGCAAACUCCUGUAUCAAGUGUUUCUUUCUAAGUUGACAUUGGACCACUCAAUCUGGCUCUUUCUACACUCUCACUAUUUUUCUAGGUUGGGAGACCUCUACAUAACUAAAGGACUAAAAUUAGUUUAUUAGUCCUUUAGUUAUGGACUAAUUUUAUUUGACUCUACUGAUCACGAAUAUGUUACAGAAGGCAUUUAGGCAUUAACUGCAUGGGCAUUUUUGCAGCCCACAGAGGAGUCUCCAGGAAGCUGACAUAAAGAAAAAUUGAUUAUUCAAU